UUUCCGUAGGUGAACCUGCGGAAGGAUCAUUAAGACGGCGUGUUUGGUGGGAGGGAUCGUUUGGUGGGAGGGAGAUUUUGGUGGGAGGGAGAGUUUUGGUUGAUGGUUGAUGGUUGGUGGUUGACGGUUGGUGGUUGACGGUUGGUGGUUGACGGUUGGUGGUUGACGGUUGAUGUUUUUAUCACUAUCACUAUUGCUAUUGCUAUUACCAUUACCAUUACUAUCACACUCAUUCACACUCAUUCACACUCACCUCUCGCCACAUAUUUGCGCUUCGUGUGUAUGACAGAGUUGUAAUUGUAUUAAAGGAUUUUAAGGUUGUAUUACGAGUUGGAUUUGAAAUACGAGGUACCUUUGUACCAUUUGUAUUACAAGCUACAUUUGUAGCGUGUGUAUUACGAGCUACAUUUGUCCCAUUUGGAUGACUCGUAUCACUAUAUCACUCACUAUACAUUACGUUUACAUCAUUUACACUUUUUUACAUGACUUUUAACAAUAAAUCUCUUGGCUCUAGCCUCGAUGAGGUAC
Molecule: unclassified non-coding RNA, 528 nt
Filed under: plant metagenome
Description: partial contains small subunit ribosomal RNA, internal transcribed spacer 1, and 5.8S ribosomal RNA
Source: RNAcentral